AUAGGUGGCAAGCGUUAUCCGGAUUUAUUGGGCGUAAAGCGUGCGUAGACGGUUUUGCAAGUCUGAGGUUAAAUUUAGGGGCUCAACCCCUAACCGCCUUGGAAACUACAUUACUAGAGUAUAGGAGAGGUUAGUGGAAUCUCAUGUGUAGCGGUGGAAUGCGUAGAUAUAUGAAGGAACACCAGUGGCGAAGGCGGCUAACUGGCCUAUUACUGACGUUGUGGCACGAAAGCGUGGGAGCAAAUAGGAUUAGAUACCCCUAGUAGUCCACGCCGUAAACGAUGAGUACUAAGUGUUGCCAUGAGGGCAGUGCUGUAGCUAACGCAUUAAGUACUCCGCCUGAGUAGUAUGCUCGCAAGAGUG
RNAcentral lists this ribosomal RNA (363 nucleotides) under uncultured bacterium. RNAcentral's name for it is "bacterial SSU rRNA". It matches the Rfam family "Bacterial small subunit ribosomal RNA", at positions 527 to 896 of the family's 1533-position model. The record is from RNAcentral.